GAUCACGGUGAUGACCCCAUAAAAUUCAAGCUCAACAGACCGGAAUGCAGGGUUCUCUCUCUAUUGGGAUGAUACUUUGCGUGUCGACCACCCCGCUGACCUGAGUGAUC
Neltuma alba is the source of this 110-nucleotide small nucleolar RNA. RefSeq annotates it as small nucleolar RNA Z107/R87. Lineage: Eukaryota; Viridiplantae; Streptophyta; Magnoliopsida; Fabales; Fabaceae. The record is from RefSeq and is a predicted model, not a curated record. The transcript has a single exon.